CUAAUUUCCUCCCUGAAUAGAUAUACUAAAACUGGAAUGAUACAGAAAAUAUGAGUAUGGAUCUUGUCCAUGGUCUACAUGUGAAUUUAUGAAGUUUCUCAUGUUUUC
Molecule: small nuclear RNA, 108 nt
Organism: Vombatus ursinus (common wombat)
Lineage: Eukaryota; Metazoa; Chordata; Mammalia; Diprotodontia; Vombatidae
Source: Ensembl